Molecule: ribosomal RNA, 468 nt
Filed under: uncultured bacterium
Lineage: Bacteria
Description: partial 16S ribosomal RNA
Rfam family: Bacterial small subunit ribosomal RNA
Source: RNAcentral
GACGAACGCUGGCGGCGUGCUUAACACAUGCAAGUCGAACGGAAAGGCACUGCUUUUGUGGGGUGCUCGAGUGGCGAACGGGUGAGUAACACGUGAGUAACCUGACCUUCACUUUGGGAUAACUUCAGGAAACUGGGGCUAAUACCGGAUAGGAGCUCCUGCUGCAUGGUGGGGGGUGGAAAGUUUCGGCGGGUGGGGAUGGACUCGCGGCUGAUCAGCUUGUUGGUCGGGUAGUGGCUUACCAAGGCUUUGACGGGUAGCCGGCCUGAGAGGGUGACCGGCGUCAUUGCGCCUGAGAUACGCAGCAGUCUCGUACGUUAGACAGCGGGCGGGAAUAUGACACAGCGAGAGGGAGCCUGUGACGGCAACGUCGGGUGUGGGAUGACCGUUUUUUGGUUGAGAAAAGCAUCAGGUUGUGACGCCGCGUUACUGACGGUAAUGAAUAAAUAAGCACCGGCUAACUUCGUG